RNAcentral lists this ribosomal RNA (635 nucleotides) under uncultured bacterium. RNAcentral's name for it is "bacterial SSU rRNA". It matches the Rfam family "Bacterial small subunit ribosomal RNA", at positions 39 to 682 of the family's 1533-position model. The record is from RNAcentral.
GCAGCAGGCCUAAUACAUGCAAGUCGAACGGUGAUAGCAAUAUCAUAGUGGCGCACGGGUGCGUAACACGUAUGCAACCUACCUUAUACUGAGGGAUAGCCUUUCGAAAGGGAGAUUAAUACCUCAUAACACAUUGAACUGGCAUCAGUUUAUUGUUAAAGAUUUAUUGGUAUAAGAUGGGCAUGCGUCCAAUUAGUUAGUUGGCGAGGUAACGGCUCACCAAGACGAUGAUUGGUAGGGGAACUGAGAGGUUAAUCCCCCACACUGGCACUGAGAUACGGGCCAGACUCCUACGGGAGGCAGCAGUAGGGAAUAUUGGGCAAUGGAGGCAACUCUGACCCAGCCAUGCCGCGUGCAGGAAGAAGGCGUUAUGCGUUGUAAACUGCUUUUAUAUAGGAAGAAAUAGACCUUGCGAGGUAAGUUGACGGUACUAUAUGAAUAAGCACCGGCUAACUCCGUGCCAGCAGCCGCGGUAAUACGGAGGGUGCAAGCGUUGUCCGGAUUUAUUGGGUUUAAAGGGUGCGUAGGCGGUUUAUUAAGUCAGUGGUGAAAGACGGUCGCUCAACGAUUGCAGUGCCAUUGAUACUGGUAGACUUGAGUGGGAUUGAGGUAGCUGGAAUGGAUAGUGUAGCGGU